GGAAAGGUCUCCAGGGCAACAACACACAUGGAGCUGUCGCCUCCUCCAAUGACAAUGCCCUCGCUGAAAUCCCCCUGAAGGACCUGCCUGGGGCUCUUCUCGAGCAGUGCCACUCUUCAGAAAUGUGUCCAUGGCAGUUUGCUUAGUUUCUUUCUUUUCAUCAUAGAGCCACUGGAACAUCUUUCUUUUCUUCUUAACCAGCUCCCCACCAUGCUUCCAAAGGCCACGUUUCAUCUUCCCUGCAUCGCUACAGUGAAGUGUUACAGUUGUACAGUUCCCAGUCUGGCCUUGGCUUGCUGAAAGAAAACUUUGUAUGUAUUUUGUAAGGCAUAGAUUCUAUACUUUUCUAUGCAAAAAGAAAAAAAAUUAACAAAAUUGUAAAUUUUAUUGUUUAAAC
RNAcentral lists this long non-coding RNA (397 nucleotides) under Fukomys damarensis (Damara mole-rat). RNAcentral describes it as "lncRNA (ENSFDAG00000032376.1)". Lineage: Eukaryota; Metazoa; Chordata; Mammalia; Rodentia; Bathyergidae. The record is from RNAcentral.